CCUUGGGAUGCGGAUGCCGAGGACCCACGGCUGGGAUGCCGCGGACCCGUGUCCGGCCUCCCCAGGAUGCGGACGCCGCGGUCCUGCGGCUAGGAUGCCGCGGUUUCGCGGCUGGACUCCCGGUCCUGCGGUUCCGCGGCUGGCCUCCGGUCCCGCGGUCCGAGAGCCGCAGUCCCGUGGCUGGCGGGCUGCUCCCGGCCAUUCCACGGCUGGCCGCAUGCCUCGUGGCGUCGCCGUGGCCCGGGGAGCAUCACCAGCCACUCGCAGUGGCCGGCGUGGUGGCGGCCAUGGGUGGCAACCACGGGCUGCCUCCCAAAACAAAAAAAAAUGGGGUGGCGGCGUUGAGAGAAAGAAGAAGAUAAAGAGGGAGAGAAUAGUUUAGGCUUUUCUUUUGAUUGGGCUAGGGCUUGUGAAGCCCAAUCCGAAUAGGUCCAUGGUUGCGAGUUGGGCCCUUUUAUUUGGUCAGCCCAUGUUUAUUUUAUUUGCAUUUCAUUUUAAUGGGCCAGAAUGGGUUUUGGGCCUGAGGCUAAGAGUUAGUAACCCAUUUAAUUGCUAUUUAAAUAUUGAAUAAUUUGAAUUAAGGCCCUCAUGCAUAUUAAUUAAUGAGGUAUUAAAUUUUGGACAUAUUUUGCUGCCAUAUAUACCUUGAAUUUUGUAAUUAAUAUCUUUGUUUGAUCAAUCACAUGUGAUUUUGAUUAUGAUUGCACCAUGUUUGAUGGUUACGAUUUUGUCACAUAACCAUUAUUUUUGUGAUUGAAAUUUGUUGGGCAUAAAGACUAUCAUUAUUUUUCCAUUAAGAGAAUAUUUUGAAAUUGAAGUGGGUGGUAGCCGCCAAAAUGACACACUCACUGAUUUUUAUCUGAUUUUCUCAAAAAAAAGGUAGCAUUGCAUUUUUUCAGAUCAUUGUACGCAAUAUCUUGCCCGAAGAUGUUAUUGUGUAUGAUGUUUUGGAAAAAUGAUAUGGAGUGAUUAACGGGAUUGCAUUAGCCUAGAAUCAUCCUUCUGUCCAAAGGUGAUGGUGUUUCGAAAGUUGAUGUGAUUUUGUUAGUUGGCUUCAUGAUAUGUCUUAAGAGUACCUUAUAGCUUGUUGUAUUGUCAACCCAAAAGUGACUCUACAAUAAUGCACCGAGGCUCUUACCGUAAUUAGACUUAUAUGUUUUUCAAGCCUGAUUACGGACUAUCUAAUUAAUAGCCCAAAUUAAUUAGAUAGAUAUGUUGUCAUCCAUUUAAUUACAUAUAUCACAUUUGGAUGAUAUUAAAUAAAAUAUGUUGUUUCCGCAAUUUUGAAUGUCUCUUCCCUUUCAAGCUAAUUGUCUGCUAUUGAAAUUCUGACUGGAAAUAAUUAUGUGAGAUGCAAAAGAGACAUAGAAAUAGCACUGGGUCUCUUGGGUUUAGAUUUUGCUUUGGAGGAGCAGCCUUCAAAACCAAUAGAUAAGAGCACUGUCGAGUACAAGACUAAGUAUGUCAAGUGGAAAAGAGCUAACAAGCUGUGUUUGAAGAUUAUCAAGCGUUCUAUAUCUGAUUCUAUUAUGGGUGCUAUACCGGACAACGACAAUGCUAAGAAUUUUUUGGAUGCGAUAGGACCGAGAUUUGUUGAGUCCGAUAAAACUGAAACUGGGGACCUAAUGGAUAAAUUUAUGAGUAUGAAAUAUGAUGACACUUGUGGAGUUAGGGAGUAUAUUAUAAAAAUGCUGCACAUAAGUUCUAAAUUAGAAGCCCUAAAAAUUUCCAUUGCAUAGCCUUUUCUUGUCAAUCAUUAUCUUAAUAGCCUUCCCAGCCAGUUCAAUCAACUUAAGGUUGCUUAUAAUGCUCAAGGUGACAAAUAGGAUUUGAAUGAUUUGAUUGCUGCGUGUGCCCAAGAGGAGUAUAGAAUGCAUCGUGAGACUGUUGAAACUGUGCAACUGACCUAUCAGCCUUCUCAGAACAAGAAGUCUUCUCAUAAUCAUAAGGCUAAGUUCCAUAAGAGCAACAAGCCUCACUACAAUCAGCACAACAGAGGGUCUCGUGGACAGACUUCUGGUGGUCCUAAAAGAAUUAUGAAGAAGAAUGACAAAUGUAAGUUCUGCAAAAAGAAGAGUCAUUGGCAGAAGGAUUACCUUAAGUUUAAGACUUUGGUUAGAGAAGAAGAAAACUUCGGUAGGGGUUCAUAAGGAGACGAAGGCCAAGUGAGAAUGAAGUGAACCUGUGCGUUGGAAAUGGAGUUCAAGUUAAACUUGAGUUUAUAGGAGCAGUGGAGUUAUCCUUGGAGUCCGGUUUUUCUCUUGUUUUGGAAAAUAUAUUUUUUGUACCGACGAUGAGACGAAAUUUAAUUUGUGUCAAAACUUGAUCAGUCUGGAUUUUCUUUUAAAUUUAGUAAUGGAAUGAUUGAAUUAUUUUA
Phoenix dactylifera (date palm) is the source of this 2377-nucleotide non-coding RNA. The record is from RefSeq and is a predicted model, not a curated record. Lineage: Eukaryota; Viridiplantae; Streptophyta; Magnoliopsida; Arecales; Arecaceae.